CAAAGCCUUUGACACAUACUUAAACUGCACGCCAACCACUGGAUGCUUUUAUGAAGGUUCUAACAAACAACAAACACCCUCCCCACCUAAAACCACUCCCACUGACCCAGACUCUGGCUCCGGCUCCGUGAUGCCUGCCCCCCUGUCCUCUCGCCGGUGCCCCUCGGCCCGGAUCCUGUCCUCCGUCCCCCGGAGAACUCCCGGUUGCCAGACCUCCGUUCCAUGGAUUGUCCUUUUGUUUGUCCCGCCCGCAUGCCCUGAUGUGUCUUGGGCCAUCUGGGAUCCGUCCCUUGAGGGGGUGUACUGUCACGGUGUGGGUUUGUUUCCUGUUUUAUUUUGUAGUUUCCUGCCUCUUGUGUCCCUGGGUUACUUCCCUUCCUGCCCUGCCCUGUCGUCCCCUGU
Molecule: long non-coding RNA, 402 nt
Organism: Gasterosteus aculeatus aculeatus (three-spined stickleback)
Lineage: Eukaryota; Metazoa; Chordata; Actinopteri; Perciformes; Gasterosteidae
Source: Ensembl